This 420-nucleotide ribosomal RNA is filed under the name Fusobacteriota bacterium. RNAcentral's name for it is "Fusobacteria bacterium partial 16S ribosomal RNA". It matches the Rfam family "Bacterial small subunit ribosomal RNA", at positions 355 to 776 of the family's 1533-position model. The record is from RNAcentral. Lineage: Bacteria; Fusobacteriati; Fusobacteriota.
UGGGGGAUAUUGCACAAUGGGCGAAAGCCUGAUGCAGCGACGCCGCGUGGGGGAUGAAGGCCUUCAGGUUGUAAACUUCUUUUGCUCUGAACAAGGCAUGCCUUUGGGGUGUGUUGAGUGUAGGGGUUGAUUAGCGCCGGCUAACUACGUGCCAGCAGCCGCGGUAAUACGUAGGGCGCGAGCGUUGUCCGGAAUUAUUGGGCGUAAAGGGCUUGUAGGUGGCUGGUUGCGUCUGUCGUGAAAGCUCAUGGCUUAACUGUGGGUUUGCGGUGGGUACGGGCUGGCUUGAGUGCAGUAGGGGAGGCUGGAAUUCCUGGUGUAGCGGUGGAAUGCGCAGAUAUCAGGAGGAAUACCGGUGGCGAAGGCGGGUCUCUGGGCUGUUACUGACGCUGAGGAGCGAAAGCGUGGGGAGCGAACAGG